RNAcentral lists this ribosomal RNA (465 nucleotides) under uncultured bacterium. RNAcentral's name for it is "partial 16S ribosomal RNA". It matches the Rfam family "Bacterial small subunit ribosomal RNA", at positions 28 to 507 of the family's 1533-position model. The record is from RNAcentral.
GACGAACGCUGGCGGCGUGCUUAACACAUGCAAGUCGUACGGUAAGGCCCUUUCGGGGGUACACGAGUGGCGAACGGGUGAGUAACACGUGAGUAACCUGCCCACAACUUUGGGAUAACGCUAGGAAACUGGUGCUAAUACUGGAUAUGUGCUCCUGCUGCAUGGUGGGGGUUGGAAAGCUCCGGCGGUUGUGGAUGGACUCGCGGCCUAUCAGCUUGUUGGUGGGGUAGUGGCCUACCAAGGCGGCGACGGGUAGCCGGCCGGAGAGGGUGACCGGCCACAGUGGGACUGAGAUACGGCCCAGACUCCUACGGGAGGCAGCAGUGGGGAAUAUUGCACAAUGGGCGCAAGCCUGAUGCAGCAACGCCGCGUGCGGGAGGACGGCCUUCGGGUUGUAAACCGCUUUCAGCAGGGACGAAGCUUUUUGUGACGGUACCUGCAGAAGAAGCACCGGCUAACUACGUG